RNAcentral lists this ribosomal RNA (497 nucleotides) under uncultured bacterium. RNAcentral describes it as "bacterial SSU rRNA". It matches the Rfam family "Bacterial small subunit ribosomal RNA", at positions 17 to 509 of the family's 1533-position model. The record is from RNAcentral.
UCCUGGCUCAGGAUGAACGCUAGCGGCAGGCUUAACACAUGCAAGUCGAGGGGCAGCAGGCUGUAGCAAUACGGUGCUGGCGACCGGCGCAAGGGUGCGUAACGCGUGAGCAACUUGCCCGCAACAGGAGGAUAACCGGAGGAAACUCCGACUAAUACUGCGUAGCAACAAAGUGUGGCAUCGCAUUUUGUUUAAAGACGAAAGUCGGUUGCGGAUAGGCUCGCGUGACAUUAGGUAGACGGCGGGUAACGGCCCACCGUGCCGACGAUGUCUAGGGGUUCUGAGAGGAAGGUCCCCACACUGGUACUGAGACACGGACCAGACUCCUACGGGAGGCAGCAGUGAGGAAUAUUGGACAAUGGUCGGAAGACUGAUCCAGCCAUGCCGCGUGAAGGAUAAGGUCCUAUGGAUUGUAAACUUCUUUGUACGAGAGGAAUAAGGGUGAUGCGUCAUCCGACGACAGUAUCGUACGAAUAAGCAUCGGCUAACUCCGUGCC